Molecule: long non-coding RNA, 1196 nt
Filed under: Ananas comosus (pineapple)
Lineage: Eukaryota; Viridiplantae; Streptophyta; Magnoliopsida; Poales; Bromeliaceae
Description: long non-coding RNA (ACOM_LNC022672)
Source: RNAcentral
UUGACACCAAGUUUACCUAAAAAUUUCACGGCAGCUGUGCCUUGCAUCAUCUAAUGCCCGCCAUAUGUUUGUUGACAAUUUGGAUUCUGCUCAGAUGCCAAGUUCAACCAUCAAGUACAAUGGACGGUUGAUAAGAAGAUACCCUUUGUUUUUCUUGUUCAGGAGAAUGAAAAGGCACACUCUAUCUUCUUUCUUCAAAUAAUGAAGUUCAACCAUUAAGUACAAUGGACGGUUGAUAAGAAGAUACCCUUUGUUUUUCUUGUUCAGGAGAAUGAAAAGGCACUCUCUAUCUUCUUUCUUCAAAUAAUGAAGUUCACACGAGUGUUGGUGAUCUGCUGGUUGGCCAGGAGCACUUUCAUAUGUCUCGACUCUGGCAGUCUAUGGUGGACCGAAACACUACUGGUUAAUGGUCAUAUUAUUCGUCGCACAACUGUCGCCGGACUGAAAUUCAAUUGCAGGUUCACCAUUUGUCUCGAUCGCUUGAUGUUGAGGUGGCCGUGAUUGAGAGAUUUGGCAUAUGUGUAAUGCAAAAUAUGGCGGAGGACAGAUGUAAUGUAGGCGUAAUUUGAUACUUAUGCUGCGAGUUUGCGAGAGAGCAGAUGCCAUAUUUAAGGCCGAAAGUCUCCAACUUGGUAGGAGUUUUUUUCAUGGAAUUUCUCAACUUCUCUAUGCGGAAACACUCUCUUGCACCACAUCCAUUUUGCCCUUAUAAAGAAAAGACGCGUUGAAAGCCAUGCCCAUUCAGUAGUAAUGGGAUAAAAUAGUUCGACCGAUUGAAUUUCCUUCUUUUUCACUUUCCCGGUCAAGACCCAUUUUCUCCUCACUCCUACGAUGAACAAAGCAUUGAAUGGAUUGUCACUUGUGCAAUGAAGUAACGUGGCAAAGGUUGUAUGUGAUUAACUUGGAACAAGAGUAAUUUAUGCCUGGUCUUUAAUUCACGUUAUUAUUUGUAAGAGGGAUUUGUUGUUUUGAUAGCUGUGAUCCCCUCCAUGAUCCCAAGUUCACGACAUCAUUCUCUCCAAAUUAAUCCCACUUCAACCCUCACUGCAGAUCUCGCUUUCAGGAGAAAAAAAACUAAUUAAGGGUAAAAAAAAAAAAAUUUUCUGGCCGUAAAAAAUUUCUUUGCAAAAUUUUUUUACAGAUUCUUUGAAAAGAUCGCGUUUUCGUUUUCUGCCUGCCCGUUUGCGGAAAACAAA